GACGAACGCUGGCGGCGUGCUUAACACAUGCAAGUCGAACGGAAAGGCCUGCUUUCCCUUGUGGAUUGCGGGUACUCGAGUGGCGAACGGGUGAGUAACACGUGAGUGAUCUGCCCCCAACUUGGGUAUAAGCCUGGGAAACUGGGUCUAAUUCCCGAUAGGACUGCAGGGUGGUGCCUGUGGUGGAAAACGAUUUUCUAGUGGUUGGGGAUGAGCUCGCGGCCUAUCAGCUUGUUGGUGGGGUAAUGGCCUACCAAGGCGGCGACGGGUAGCCGGCCUGAGAGGGUGGACGGCGACAUUGGGACUGGGAUACGGCCCAGACUCCUACGGGAGGCAGCAGUGGGGAAUAUUGGACAAUGGGCGGAAGCCUGAUGCAGCGACGCCGCGUGGGGGAUGACGGCCUUCGGGUUGUAAACUCCUUUCGACCGCGAGGAAGCCACCUGGUUGGAAGGGUGGUGACGGUAGUGGUAGAAGAAGCACCGGCUAACUACGUG
RNAcentral lists this ribosomal RNA (494 nucleotides) under uncultured bacterium. RNAcentral describes it as "partial 16S ribosomal RNA". It matches the Rfam family "Bacterial small subunit ribosomal RNA", at positions 28 to 507 of the family's 1533-position model. The record is from RNAcentral.